RNAcentral lists this transfer RNA (99 nucleotides) under compost metagenome. Its description in RNAcentral is "tRNA-Arg". The record is from RNAcentral.
ACGGGUUGCAGCUGGACGGCACACUGCGCGCCGUCGCGGGCGGCGCGCGCGCGGCCGGCGGCACCCUGGCCGUGGUGCUCGGCACGCCGGGCCUGCGCC